RNAcentral lists this ribosomal RNA (254 nucleotides) under uncultured bacterium. RNAcentral's name for it is "partial 16S ribosomal RNA". It matches the Rfam family "Bacterial small subunit ribosomal RNA", at positions 524 to 776 of the family's 1533-position model. The record is from RNAcentral.
UACGUAGGGGGCAAGCGUUGUCCGGAUUUAUUGGGCGUAAAAGGCUUGUAGGUGGCCACGCCAAGUCGGAUGUGAAAUCUCCCGGCUCAACUGGGAGGGGUCAUUCGAUACUGGUGGGCUCGAGGCCGGUAGGGGGAAGCGGAAUUCCCGGUGUAGUGGUGGAAUGCGUAGAUAUCUGGAGGAAUACCGGUGGCGAAGGCGGCAUCCUGGACCGACAUUGACGCUGAGGAGCGAAAGCCAGGGGAGCAAACGGG